RNAcentral lists this long non-coding RNA (124 nucleotides) under Pongo abelii (Sumatran orangutan). Its description in RNAcentral is "lincRNA". Lineage: Eukaryota; Metazoa; Chordata; Mammalia; Primates; Hominidae. The record is from RNAcentral.
AAACAGGACCUUGCCCUGUCACUCAGGAUGGAGUUCAGUGGUCGAGUCAUGGCUCAUUGUAGCCUCAAACUCCCAGGCUCAAGCAACCCUACCAUGUCAGCCUUCCCAGUAGCUGGGACUACAG